This 520-nucleotide ribosomal RNA is filed under the name uncultured Glomus. RNAcentral's name for it is "SSU rRNA". It matches the Rfam family "Eukaryotic small subunit ribosomal RNA", at positions 569 to 1089 of the family's 1831-position model. The record is from RNAcentral. Lineage: Eukaryota; Fungi; Glomeromycota; Glomeromycetes; Glomerales; Glomeraceae.
AGCAGCCGCGGUAAUUCCAGCUCCAAUAGCGUAUAUUAAAGUUGUUGCAGUUAAAAAGCUCGUAGUUGAAUUUCGGGAUCAGUAGGUCGGUCGUGCCACUGGUAUGAACUGGUUUUACUGAUUCCUCCCUCUUGAAGAACUGUAAUGCCAUUAAUUUGGUGUUGCAGGGAAUCAGGACUGUUACUUUGAAAAAAUUAGAGUGUUUAAAGCAGGCUUUAGCUUGAAUACAUUAGCAUGGAAUAAUGAAAUAGGACGUUUGAUCCUAUUUUGUUGGUUUCUAGGAUUGACGUAAUGAUUAAUAGGGAUAGUUGGGGGCAUUAGUAUUCAAUUGUCAGAGGUGAAAUUCUUGGAUUUAUUGAAGACUAACUACUGCGAAAGCAUUUUGCCAAGGAUGUUUUCAUUAAUCAAGAACGAAAGUUAGGGGAUCGAAGACGAUCAGAUACCGUCGUAGUCUUAACCAUAAACUAUGCCGACUAGGGAUCAGAUGAUGUUAAUUUUUUAAUGACUCAUUCGGCGCCUU